GCUCUGAAUCAAUACUAUCGUGGAUGUUCCUCUCCCAUGUCAACUUCAACUUCUUAAGUUUCUUUUUACCCUUCAAAUUGGCCUCCACGGCAUCUUUGGCUUCCUCAAUGUCCUGGAGAUUCCAGAUACAAAGUUCUCCUGCAAGAGCUUGAAGCUUCCCCAGUUCUUUAAUGCUAGACCAACUCUGUUUACUCAGAAAGAAAUCUGUUAACUUUUGAAGAUUUAUAAGCUUACCCAUUUCUGGUGGCAUCUCUUGCAGUUUUG
This 264-nucleotide unclassified non-coding RNA is filed under the name Hevea brasiliensis (rubber tree). The record is from RNAcentral. Lineage: Eukaryota; Viridiplantae; Streptophyta; Magnoliopsida; Malpighiales; Euphorbiaceae.